AAUGGAUAUCCAAAAUAAAUCAUUUGGAAUUAAAAUUUAUAUUUUAUAAUAUGAUAAUAAUAAUUUAUUUACUUAGAUUAUUAAAUUUAUUCAAAGUUAACUCAUGAAAAUAUUUAUUAUUUGUUGCAUCUUGUUUAUACAUGUGAAUAUGUGUCUAUAUAUCCGCGGAUUUCGGGUAACUAUUUCGGUUUUGGGUAUCCGUUCGGGUUUCGGGUAUCCGCGGGUUUGGUUUUGGUGUUGAAUUUCCACCCGAUUUGGUUUCGGUUUUGGUUUCGGGUUUCGACUUCGCGUUUCGGUUUUGGGUGCACGGAGACUCCACCCGAUCCAAACCCAACCUGUUGCCAUCCUUAAAUGGUGCUCUUCCUUCACUUAGUUGUCAGGUUAGUGUGUUGGCUUCAAUGGUGCCUUAAUGAACGAGUGGACAUGGCUAAGCCCCAUUUAUCGCAGCUGGAUAUUAUCUCAAAACAAUUUUGAUCUCAGCAUACUCUUAUAUAUGGCUAACAAAUUUUUAAUUUAAUAUGUCGCUAAUCUCAUUGACAUCGGUUUUAUGUACUCUAAUAUUAGUUUUUAUGUACAGCUUGAUUCGAAAGAUAUGCUACUUCAUGAAGAGCAGAUAGCUAAAGUUCAAGAACACGUCAUUCAGCAGGUGUAUGGUGAUACUGUGCUUGCCGAAAAAAACACUUCAUUUCAGUGUCGAGGCUGGCUGGCUGGCUGCAAUAAGGUAAUAACGUGGACAUUGUCGGAUUCAUGGUUGGAUGACUGUUGUUACCUAUGAAUUCCGUAAUUACUCUCCUAGAUUGAUUUUACGCUUCUAUAGUUUACCUGCUCCUACAUAGCGAUUGCAAGACUAGAUUUCCUUACAAAGCUACACUGAGAUAUUUUUUCCCUGAAAAAGAAAGUUACUCUAGAUGCUUCCUUACACAAAAUGUGUAGCUUUCCCAGUUUUGCUAAUAAAGCUGGUAAAAAGGAUUGAUGUUCUUGUGGUUGGUUUGACACUUUGAAAUUACCACUGCUUUGCAGCAAACAAUAAAGUGUGCAUAAUCGUUCUAUUUUUAUCUUUUAUGUGCUUCAUGAAGACCUAUAUUUGAUCCUGUUCAGCUGAGUGUUGAUGAAUUAUGUACCUUUUUGCCAUAAACACAUAAUUAUCAACAUAAAGAAAGAUAUCGACUGGGACCACCUUGAGUUCAGGAUUUGAGCCACCAAAUUUGUUGUUCUUUCUUUCCAAAAGGUUGUCUUCUCCUAAAUUUUAAUAUCCCACUACAGGCAGGUCAAAAAAAGGGUUGACCGUGCCUACACAAAGCUAUCCAAAGCUAAUACUGACACUGCCAAGUUAAACCAAUGUCCUAUCCCUAUUCAGCUGUAUUUGUAGCCUUUGAACGAUUUGGAAUCCCACUAUUUUGACAUUGUUGACAUCAUACAUCCACAAUAUAAUUCCGUCUUUAAACUAAACCAAAAAAAAGAUCUUUCAGUCCAAACUUACUUCCUCAGUCAGCAUCUAUGUUUUCUUUUAUUUUUACCAGACAUAUCUAUUUGCUUCAUCCACUUUGGGUCUCUUACAUAAAUAAAAUUAUUACAUUCAGUUGCACUACACUUUUACUUUUUCCACUACCAGUGCAGAACAUAGAGCGCCAAUCACCUGUGCCAAAAACUUUCAGAAUGUUGUUGACAGAGGUGGCUGAUUUCAUAUAUGUUCAAAGAUCUGAUCAUUCAUCUAAACCCAUAGAUAUGCAGUUUAUGCUAAAUAUUUAGGACAUCACUUAUGUUUCCAGACGUAGGAAAAAAAUUCUGAAAAAGUUUAUGUAUCCAUAUGAAUUUACUUCAUAUAUUUAGUGACACCUUUCCAACGUGUCUUAACCCUGUGACGAUUCUAUUUUAGUGAUACAGGUAAAAGAAAGCGAUGAAGAAACAUACAUAGACAAGAGCAUCGAACCAACACCCCCUCCCCCCCCCCCCCCCCCCUCUACCACCACCACCACAAAAAAAACCA
This 1987-nucleotide long non-coding RNA is filed under the name Sorghum bicolor (sorghum). RNAcentral describes it as "long non-coding RNA (SBIC_LNC018375)". Lineage: Eukaryota; Viridiplantae; Streptophyta; Magnoliopsida; Poales; Poaceae. The record is from RNAcentral.